GACGAACGCUGGCGGCGUGCCUAACACAUGCAAGUGGGACGCAAGGGAACACACUGUGCUUGCACACCGUGUUUUCUUGAGUCGCGAACGGGUGAGUAACGCGUAGGUAACCUGCCUAUUAGCGGGGGAUAACUAUUGGAAACGAUAGCUAAUACCGCAUAAUAUUAAUUAUUGCAUGAUAAUUGAUUGAAAGAUGCAAGCGCAUCACUAGUAGAUGGACCUGCGUUGUAUUAGCUAGUUGGUAAGGUAAGAGCUUACCAAGGCGACGAUACAUAGCCGACCUGAGAGGGUGAUCGGCCACACUGGGACUGAGACACGGCCCAGACUCCUACGGGAGGCAGCAGUAGGGAAUCUUCGGCAAUGGACGAAAGUCUGACCGAGCAACGCCGCGUGAGUGAAGAAGGUUUUCGGAUCGUAAAGCUCUGUUGUAAGUCAAGAACGUGUGUGAGAGUGGAAAGUUCACACA
This 466-nucleotide ribosomal RNA is filed under the name Streptococcus mutans. RNAcentral describes it as "bacterial SSU rRNA". It matches the Rfam family "Bacterial small subunit ribosomal RNA", at positions 28 to 470 of the family's 1533-position model. The record is from RNAcentral. Lineage: Bacteria; Bacillati; Bacillota; Bacilli; Lactobacillales; Streptococcaceae.